Non-coding RNA from Desmophyllum pertusum, 74 nucleotides. The record is from the annotation of a GenBank genome assembly. NCBI's taxonomy places the organism in Eukaryota, Metazoa, Cnidaria, Anthozoa, Scleractinia, Caryophylliidae.
AGGCGCGGUGGCUUAAUGGUUACGCGCGUUGGAUUCUGGAUCGAGUGGUCUGGGUUCGAGCCCUGUCCUGUUUA